Long non-coding RNA from Leptonychotes weddellii (Weddell seal), 927 nucleotides. RefSeq lists it as uncharacterized. Lineage: Eukaryota; Metazoa; Chordata; Mammalia; Carnivora; Phocidae. The record is from RefSeq and is a predicted model, not a curated record.
UGUCCUAGACUAUCCUAAAAACACUUACAUCUCCUCCUCUUUUCUAUUUGCAAAUUACUGUGCCUCCGACCUACUGAGAAAAUCCCAAAAUCAUCACGAAAGCACUCUGUUGAUUAGACUCCCUGCCACUAAAAACAUAUGUCUCUGUGCUCAGCCUCCUCCCUGCUCUGAGAUCUUGGGAGGGAAUGGAGCCUUUUCCUAUCCAGGGCUACUCCCCUGGUAAUUGGAGCCCCGCAGUCUCCUGGAGAACUUCACAGUCAUCCAUUCCUGGCUCUGUAGUUGUUCUGCCCCUGUUCUCUGAAGAAUCUUUCUCUUUAUGGUUCCUCAUUUGGCUUCCGCUGAUGCCUGGUGGAGAGGAGGUUUCUGCUGGCUGGACUUGGAAGUUUGGGUCCCCCCAGGGGUCACUGCUGACACCACCCUGCAAGAAUGGAGAGAGGUGCCUCCUGAUGGCCAAGGAUUGUAAGGAGAGUUUGGAAAGACAUUAAAUGAAGUCUGUCCUUUGGGGAACUUAAACCUGUGGUCUACCGAUUAUGCCGCCAUGCUGUGGGAGGAAGUGAAUACUUCGAUUUCAAAAGAACUGCAGAGAAGUUUACAGAGGCUUUUCACCAGACAAAUGUUUUGAAGAAGCUAGCUGCCAUUUUGCAUGCUGCCCUACGGAGAGGGCUAUGUGGCAGAAGAGUUGAGAGUGGCCUCUGGCCGACAGCCAACAAGAAACUGAGGCCCUCGGUCUGGAAGCCUACAGGAAACUGCAUGCUCCUAACAAUUGUGUAGGCUUAUUAGAAGGGGAUCCUUCCCCAGUCAAGCCCCAGGAGAGAACCCAGUCUUCACUGAUACCUUGAUUGCUGCCAUAUGAAGAAUCAAGCUAGGUUGUGCCCAGAUUUCUGACCCAGAGAAACUGAGAAAAUAAAUGUAUUUUGUCUUAAGCCA